RNAcentral lists this ribosomal RNA (919 nucleotides) under uncultured Virgibacillus sp. RNAcentral's name for it is "bacterial SSU rRNA". It matches the Rfam family "Bacterial small subunit ribosomal RNA", at positions 502 to 1421 of the family's 1533-position model. The record is from RNAcentral. Lineage: Bacteria; Bacillati; Bacillota; Bacilli; Caryophanales; Bacillaceae.
UACGUGCCAGCAGCCGCGGUAAUACGUAGGGGGCAAGCGUUGUCCGGAAUUAUUGGGCGUAAAGCGCGCGCAGGCGGUCCUUUAAGUCUGAUGUGAAAGCCCACGGCUCAACCGUGGAGGGUCAUUGGAAACUGGAGGACUUGAGUACAGAAGAGGAGAGUGGAAUUCCACGUGUAGCGGUGAAAUGCGUAGAGAUGUGGAGGAACACCAGUGGCGAAGGCGACUCUCUGGUCUGUAACUGACGCUGAGGCGCGAAAGCGUGGGGAGCGAACAGGAUUAGAUACCCUGGUAGUCCACGCCGUAAACGAUGAGUGCUAGGUGUUAGGGGGUUUCCGCCCCUUAGUGCUGAAGUUAACGCAUUAAGCACUCCGCCUGGGGAGUACGGCCGCAAGGCUGAAACUCAAAAGAAUUGACGGGGGCCCGCACAAGCGGUGGAGCAUGUGGUUUAAUUCGACGCAACGCGAAGAACCUUACCAGGUCUUGACAUCCUCUGCAAUCGGUAGAGAUACCGAGUUCCCUUCGGGGACAGAGUGACAGGUGGUGCAUGGUUGUCGUCAGCUCGUGUCGUGAGAUGUUGGGUUAAGUCCCGCAACGAGCGCAACCCUUGAUCUUAGUUGCCAGCAUUUAGUUGGGCACUCUAAGGUGACUGCCGGUGACAAACCGGAGGAAGGUGGGGAUGACGUCAAAUCAUCAUGCCCCUUAUGACCUGGGCUACACACGUGCUACAAUGGAUGGAACAAAGGGAAGCAAAACCGCGAGGUCAAGCAAAUCCCAUAAAACCAUUCUCAGUUCGGAUUGCAGGCUGCAACUCGCCUGCAUGAAGCCGGAAUCGCUAGUAAUCGCGGAUCAGCAUGCCGCGGUGAAUACGUUCCCGGGCCUUGUACACACCGCCCGUCACACCACGAGAGUUGGUAACACC